Molecule: ribosomal RNA, 252 nt
Filed under: uncultured bacterium
Lineage: Bacteria
Description: partial 16S ribosomal RNA
Rfam family: Bacterial small subunit ribosomal RNA
Source: RNAcentral
UACGGAGGAUGCGAGCGUUAUCCGGAUUUAUUGGGUUUAAAGGGUGCGCAGGCGGCGUGUCAAGUCAGCGGUAAAAUGUCGGGGCUCAACCCCGGCCGGCCGUUGAAACUGGCGUGCUCGAGUUGGAGAGAAGUAUGCGGAAUUCGUGGUGUAGCGGUGAAACGCGUAGAUAUCACGAAGAACCCCGAUUGCGAAGGCAGCAUACCGGCUCCACACUGACGCUGAGGCACGAAAGCGUGGGUAUCGAACAGG